RNAcentral lists this ribosomal RNA (934 nucleotides) under uncultured Acinetobacter sp. RNAcentral describes it as "bacterial SSU rRNA". It matches the Rfam family "Bacterial small subunit ribosomal RNA", at positions 56 to 985 of the family's 1533-position model. Lineage: Bacteria; Pseudomonadati; Pseudomonadota; Gammaproteobacteria; Moraxellales; Moraxellaceae. The record is from RNAcentral.
UGCAAGUCGAGCGGAGAUGAGGUGCUUGCACCUUAUCUUAGCGGCGGACGGGUGAGUAAUGCUCAGGAAUCUGCCUAUUAGUGGGGGACAACAUUCCGAAAGGGAUGCUAAUACCGCAUACGUCCUACGGGAGAAAGCAGGGGAUCUUCGGACCUUGCGCUAAUAGAUGAGCCUAAGUCGGAUUAGCUAGUUGGUGGGGUAAAGGCCUACCAAGGCGACGAUCUGUAGCGGGUCUGAGAGGAUGAUCCGCCACACUGGGACUGAGACACGGCCCAGACUCCUACGGGAGGCAGCAGUGGGGAAUAUUGGACAAUGGGGGGAACCCUGAUCCAGCCAUGCCGCGUGUGUGAAGAAGGCCUUAUGGUUGUAAAGCACUUUAAGCAGGAGGAGGCUACUGAGACUAAUACUCUUGGAUAGUGGACGUUACUCGCAGAAUAAGCACCGGCUAACUCUGUGCCAGCAGCCGUGGUAAUACAGAGGGUGCGAGCGUUAAUCGGAUUUACUGGGCGUAAAGCGUGCGUAGGCGGCUUUUUAAGUCGGAUGUGAAAUCCCCGAGCUUAACUUGGGAAUUGCAUUCGAUACUGGGAAGCUAGAGUAUGGGAGAGGAUGGUAGAAUUCCAGGUGUAGCGGUGAAAUGCGUAGAGAUCUGGAGGAAUACCGAUGGCGAAGGCAGCCAUCUGGCCUAAUACUGACGCUGAGGUACGAAAGCAUGGGGAGCAAACAGGAUUAGAUACCCUGGUAGUCCAUGCCGUAAACGAUGUCUACUAGCCGUUGGGGCCUUUGAGGCUUUAGUGGCGCAGCUAACGCGAUAAGUAGACCGCCUGGGGAGUACGGUCGCAAGACUAAAACUCAAAUGAAUUGACGGGGGCCCGCACAAGCGGUGGAGCAUGUGGUUUAAUUCGAUGCAACGCGAAGAACCUUACCUGGCCUUGAC